RNAcentral lists this ribosomal RNA (274 nucleotides) under uncultured bacterium. Its description in RNAcentral is "partial 16S ribosomal RNA". It matches the Rfam family "Bacterial small subunit ribosomal RNA", at positions 523 to 796 of the family's 1533-position model. The record is from RNAcentral.
AGACGUAGGGUGCAAGCGUUAUUCGGAAUCACUGGGCGUAAAGGACGCGUAGGCGGGUUGGUAAGUCAGAUGUGAAAUCCUACAGCUUAACUGUAGAACUGCAUUUGAAACUGCUAACCUAGAGUAUGGGAGGGGGAGAUGGAAUUAGUGGUGUAGGGGUAAAAUCCGUAGAUAUCACUAGGAAUACCGAAAGCGAAGGCGAUCUCCUGGAACAUAACUGACGCUAAGGCGUGAAAGCGUGGGGAGCAAACAGGAUUAGAAACCCGAGUAGUCC